UAGCUCAGUUAGUAGAGUGCUUGCCUCGAAUGCAUGAGGCCCUGGGUUCAAUCCCCAG
This 58-nucleotide transfer RNA is filed under the name Ictidomys tridecemlineatus (thirteen-lined ground squirrel). RNAcentral's name for it is "Spermophilus tridecemlineatus (thirteen-lined ground squirrel) tRNA". It matches the Rfam family "tRNA", at positions 8 to 63 of the family's 71-position model. From Rfam's summary of the family: Transfer RNA (tRNA) molecules are approximately 80 nucleotides in length. Their secondary structure includes four short double-helical elements and three loops (D, anti-codon, and T loops). Lineage: Eukaryota; Metazoa; Chordata; Mammalia; Rodentia; Sciuridae. The record is from Rfam by way of RNAcentral.